Molecule: unclassified non-coding RNA, 483 nt
Filed under: Hevea brasiliensis (rubber tree)
Lineage: Eukaryota; Viridiplantae; Streptophyta; Magnoliopsida; Malpighiales; Euphorbiaceae
Source: RNAcentral
AAACAGAUUCGAGUUCCCUUCAAAAGCACUAACAAUAUCAUCACUAUCAAUUUCAGGCAGAACCCAUUCCUUCUUAGACCAAACACCGGACCCAUAAGGCCAAGUGGUCUUACCGACACGAGAAUCAAACAAGGAUCGCCAAUACUGACCAUCAAACUUCUUUAAGGCAUCCAUAUCAUGCUGAACAUCAAGUAAUCCACCAGACCGACUCCGAUAAACAAUCUCAUCUAGAGAAUACCAUUCAUCAGAAGUAGGACCAGCAUUAAAAGGAACAUACCUGGCUGAAAAAUUAUGAGAUGAGCAGUGACGGCGCGCUUCUUCACGGAUGUUCUCGUCAGCAGGACGUCGGUGCUUCUGUUGAGAAAUCGCAUCGUUUGUGGCUGUAGCUUUAAUCGGAGCGAAGAAAUGAAUACCAUUAUUGGGUUUUGAAGUUGAUUGAUGAUGAAGUUGAGGAAGACCAGGAGAGAGGAAAGAGGAUCUAAG